GGAUGAAUCUGGCGGGCAAUCUGGCCAUCUAAGGAUUAAUCCCGGUUCGUUCCGAGAUUAUCUUAAAUGUCAUUCAUGUGUCCAAUGACCCAAUUUUGGGAGAGACCAUGUAAUAUGGCGGGGGGCAGAAGCGAAGAUGAUUAGCAGAUAUGGGUAUAGUCGCAGCCAUAUUGCCGAACCACACAGAUGAAGCUAGAAGCCUUAGUUAAGUUUUGUGCCAAAAAUAAAAUAAAAGGCAACCAGGGUCCCAAAACAAUGGGUCGCGGCAGAUUUACUUGGGAGUUUGACUACAUACUUGGCUGAUUUACUUGGGAUUUGGACUACAUACUUCGUUGAUUUACUUAGGAUUUCGACUACAUACAUGAACGAAAGCUUGACGUCACUAGGCUCGCAGCCUACGGUCACAACGGACACCAAUAGCAUACUCCACUCACCUCUCGAAACUGCUCCACCAACCUAUCCCUCUCCCUGUUGACGCCGGCGGACUCUGGGCGCACAUAUCCCUCCAUGCAAGCUGCUGCUGAAACAAGAAUUGGGUUCAA
Molecule: long non-coding RNA, 542 nt
Organism: Drosophila biarmipes
Lineage: Eukaryota; Metazoa; Arthropoda; Insecta; Diptera; Drosophilidae
Exons: 2
Source: RefSeq, a predicted model, not a curated record